UUUUUUCAAUUUUCCGCCAAAACCAUUCUCCUCAUAUCCUUCUCUUCUUUUCCCCUAUUCUCUAAUCACCUAAUUAAUAUCCAACCGUUUCAAAGCCCUAAAUCUAAGCCGAUUUACAUUUUGGUGAUUUCAACUGUGCCGCAUUCAUCUCUUACUUUCAACUACAUCGAUUUGUUCUUGAAGCAGGUAUUUUUUUACUGAAUCCAUCAUAUUAAUCUGGUAUCUGUAGAUGUCUUACUUUGAUUUCAUCCUCCCCUUAUACACAAACCCUAAAACUCUUCAUGUUCCAUCGCAAGAAGGCUUGAAACGCUUCUCAUUCCUCUCUCAACUUUCUAUGAGAUUGGAGCUUCCAUGAUAAAGAUAACCUUUCCUUUGUAUCUUACUCUGUAAAUCAAAAACCCUGAAUAUAAGUCGUUGGUGGUGAAGCAGGUCUGAUUAGAAAUUGAAGGAUCGAGACAUGCUUCUUGCUUCAUUGCAACAAAAUCAAUUUUACCCUAAAUCUACUUCAUUAACGCAUUCCCAGACUCUUUAAUGUUGUCUUCAACAUCUGUAAGAAUCAAUCUCUCUCCUUUUAUUCUUAGUCACUGUGUUAAUUUUGCGUUUAUUUCUUUGUUUUGCCUUGGUGUUUUGGUUGCUGAUUAUUAAUAUGUUUUGAGGCGGAAAUCAGGUUCGAAAACCAGCGGUAACAACAUAUAUCUCGGAAUUGAUCUUUUAUUUAGUUUGUAAAAUGCUAUGGCUCUUUUUUAUGUAUAAUUAAUAGGUUGAAAUCUCCAAUCUGAUUGUGUUUUUUGUAGGUAUAAACACACAUUAACUGCGUAUAUUCUUUAAAUCGUUAAGUAUUUUUUUUACAUUUUAAUUCGCUCUUAAACCCUAAAGUUAGAUAUGGUUUUCUUUUGACUGGCUCUGCUGCUGAAAUUUUGUCAUUAAGUGAAAAAUUAGUUUUGUUUUUGGGAAAAAUAAUCUUCGUCAGAAGUGUCUGAUUUUUUCUCAUAUAUGAUUUUUUGAAAUCCAAAGCUUUUGUAAUUUGAUUUGUAAUAGAUCUUCCUAUUUCUUCGGUUCGAUAAUGUGUCAUCUUGGGGCUGAAGAUGGAGAGACUGUCGUUGCUAAAGAUAUUAUGUCUUACCAAAUUCAGUUUUAUAUAGUUUAAUUUUCAAGUCAGUAGCAUGUAAAUGUCUUACUAAACCGUUAAAACUCAUCAAACUGCCUAACUGAAGCAAUUUUGCUGGUUCGACCAGUUUAAAAUAUGUACUACUUGGUUUUGGCAGUUUGAGGGUUUAUUGGUUCGGGAUACGAUUUGGAAAUUGGAACCCACCUGAUUACAUCGAACCAAUCUUGCUGGUUCGACCAGUUUGAAAUAUGUACGACUUGGUUUUGGCAGUUUGACGGUUUAUUGGUUCAGGAUACGAUUUGGAAAUUGGAACCCACCUGUUUAUAUCGAACCAAUCGCUUAACCAUUUUUAUUUAUUUUUUUUUUCAAUUUCGUAGUAUGUAGCUAUGUAUAGAAUCAUAUUCAAAACACCUCAACAAAUUUAUUUGAUGUUAGUCUUGGUUUAUAAAGAUUUACGGGUUUUAUGAUUUUUCUGUCGGUUAAUCAUUUCUUAAUACAAACAAGUCAACCCAACCAAUACUGUUGAAUUAUGUAAAUAAUAGGUUUCAAUAGGGGUGUGAUGCCAGUAGAUAUUACUUAAAAUUAAUCGUUAAAUUACCAUAAUUGUAUUUUCUUUACUGAAAGCGUCGUUUUUUUUCUUUUUUCUAGGUUUUGACUGGAGAUGAAUGGUAUGCUUUGUUCUUUCAUAUAUCAUGAAGUUGAUUUAAUUCAAUAGCAUAUUUUAUACUGUUAUUUAUUAUUUAACUAAUGAGUAGAUAACAUGUCUAAUUUUCUAUUAAUUUUUUUUAAUUAUCAUGGAUAUUCGCUCGCUGGACAUUCGCCUAUUUUUCCCUUAAACUAUUUACAGAGAAAUUGAAGUGUGGCGUAUUGAGUAUUUUAAGCCAGUGCCCAUUACACAGGCUUCUUAUGGCAAGUUUUUUACAUGGGACUCCUAUCUUAUAUUGAAGGAGAGCAAAAUUUUGAAGUUCUUAGGGUUUUAUAUUAAACCCGCUAGCAUGGGUCAUGGAAGUUGCUGCAAUUAUGGCAAUUGCACUUGCAAAUGGAAGAGUGACUAAUCUCAAGUUCUCAACUGUAUUCAAAUAUGCAACAGUGUUGAUAGCUAUAAGUUCUUUAUACUUGUUGUAAUAUGUAGAUCUUUCUUUCAGAUUAAUUGAUGAAACUGAGUUAUUGUGCAGGGUAAAGCACCUAAUUGGUUCAUUUAGAACAAGUGGGAUAGGUGUGGCACUGUCUGGUCCAGAUGGCGGCUGGCCUCCUAACUGUUGCGUCACCUGUUCAGGUCAAACUCCACACUCCUUCACUAAAGAAGAAAUUGAAUACUUAAUAAAGCGCAUUCAAGAUGGUGGAAACAAAGCUGUUAAGGAAAGGCAGAUCACUUUUCUUUAAAGGCGACAACAUGGACAACUUUUUUCAGGUUCGACGUUGCAUAGCAAGGAUGGCGAGUGUGCUGUUUGCUACUAGCAACCUGUUAUGCAGCCAUGACAACCUGAAUACCUAUUCUGAGUCGUCUGUUACAAGUCAUUAAAGUAUUGAAGCGGCACGGUACUUAAUACAAAAUUCUUGAUCAAUAUCAUUAGUUGCCGUCUUCUACAACCAAAUUAGUUAUAUAUAUAUAUAUAUAUUUUUACCAUUACUGUUGUUGGCUUGUGAUCAUACGCGGCGUGAAGUAACUCAGAAUUUUGUUGAAGACGCUCCAUUACAGAAGCACACAUCGGAAGACGACCUCUACAUACGAAUUACAAAUACUAACCAAUGGGGACGCCUAAAGUUUGUUUUUAACGCAUAAAACCUCCACUUGUUUUUAUUAGUUAUAUAUUUAGAUUUACAUUAUGAUUAUAGUACUACUGUUUUCUUCAAUCAUAAUUAGCACAUAAGUUAUUUUAAUGUUUUUAUAAGUAAAAAGUGUUUUCAUUACCCAACCUGUUGGCACGACAAUCUUGCCACAUCUGAAAAAGAAUACAAAUAUACGAUUGUGCGUGCUUUAAUAUGUAGUUUUUUUCAUAUCGGGCAAAGAACUCCACCACUCCAUCCUACCGGUGAUUACUUUGUAGCAAAGAGUAUUUGUCAAUUAGCAUGUGUACCGAAUAAAUUACUUUUUGUAUGAUUUAGUUAUGUGUUAACAUAAAUAGCUUUACUAUGAUUUUUUCAUUAAUUAUUGAUUAUAUGUGUUCUGCUCAAUAUAUGUUAAGGUCAAAAUAGGUUCGGGUGAGUCAAAACGGGUUUUGCUCAAAAUAGGUUCAUGUCAACAUGUGUUCUGCUCAAUAUAUGUUAAGGUCAAAACUGGUUAAAAAUGCUUUAUUUAAGAAAAUAUAUAUCAAAUAACCAAAGUUAUAAAAAAAAUCAUUAAAAAAAUGAAAUCUAUCCGGGUUCUAAAAAUUGCUAUAAAAUCAUUUGUACAAUAACAUCUCAAUACCUAUAAAAAAUGAAUCAAAACAUAUUUACCUAAGUGAGAAAAAUCAUAUUUUUAUACGUUUAUAUUGAAAAGUUCUUUCGUUACAAAGUUCAUCUCAUUGCCAGUAU
Molecule: long non-coding RNA, 3625 nt
Organism: Helianthus annuus (common sunflower)
Lineage: Eukaryota; Viridiplantae; Streptophyta; Magnoliopsida; Asterales; Asteraceae
Exons: 5
Source: RefSeq, a predicted model, not a curated record